UUGCAUGGCUGUCGUCAGCUCGUGUCGUGAGAUGUUCGGUUAAGUCCGCUAACGAGCGCAACCCUCGCCGUAUGUUACAAGUGUCAUACGGGACUGCCGGUAAAAAAGCCGGAGGAAGGUGAGGAUGAUGUCAAGUCAGCAUGACCUUUAUAUCCAGGGCUACACACACGCUACAAUGGUCUGUACAAUUGGUUGCCAAGCCGCGAGGCGGAGCCAAUCCGUAAAGCAGGCCUCAGUUCAGAUUGCAGUCUGCAACUCGACUGCAUGAAGCCGGAGUUGCUAGUAACCGCAGGUCAGCAAUACUGCGGUGAAUACGUUCCCGGGUCUU
This 328-nucleotide ribosomal RNA is filed under the name uncultured Anaerolineaceae bacterium. RNAcentral describes it as "bacterial SSU rRNA". It matches the Rfam family "Bacterial small subunit ribosomal RNA", at positions 1041 to 1382 of the family's 1533-position model. The record is from RNAcentral. Lineage: Bacteria; Bacillati; Chloroflexota; Anaerolineae; Anaerolineales; Anaerolineaceae.